CUUGUGACUUUAGUCAUGAGUUAGUAGCUAAAAUAGUCAGCAUAUAGGGAAACCUAUAUGUAGAGAUAGGAUAGAACCUAUCCAAUACUACUUGAAUUGCUGGAAACCCCUAAAGCUAACCAAACUAAAACAUAAGGAUGAAAUAAACCUAAGUGUGAAAGUUACGAAAGUAGAAAAAAUUGGUUAGAUGGUAUAAGGUUAAAUCCUAAGUACUUUAAAAUGGGCAAUCAGCAGGUAAGCUCCGAAUAGGAGAAACUUCAACGACUAUUCCUCUUGAGGGAAGUACACUACAAGUUAUUGGUAGUGGAAGUGGGUAGACCUUAACGGAUAAUGCCGAAGGAUAAGAUAUAGUCUGUGCUUGCAUGAAAGUGUAAG
This is an intron RNA of 375 nucleotides. It matches the Rfam family "Group I catalytic intron". From Rfam's summary of the family: Group I catalytic introns are large self-splicing ribozymes. They catalyse their own excision from mRNA, tRNA and rRNA precursors in a wide range of organisms. The record is from Rfam.